UUUAUUUUCAUUUUCGGGCUUUAAAAUAGCUUAAAAACAUAAACUUAACCUUCUGAUCUUUUUUUUUAGAAUUCCUUAUUCCUUAUUCAUUUCUCAUUUUCAUUUCUAUUUUGAGAAAACCACAUUUAUUUACAAAUGAUUUUGUACAGGCCCAAUUUUGCCCGGCCAAUUUAAACAAAAACCAAAAAAAAUAUAAAAAUAAUAAAAAUAGUCCAUUUUACAUAAAGCCCGAAUACAAGGCCCAAAUCUGACCCAUUUUAUAAACAGACCCUAAACCCCUAACCCAAUCGGCCCAAUAGGCCCAGUGUCCAAACUGGGUCUCAACUAGCCGAAACCCUAGCUACCCUCAGCGCCGCGCCUCCCUUCUGCUGCCCACGUGCUUCAGCAGCGCAUUCGACGCCCGAGGUUCUGCUCCCCAUUGUCCCGUUGCACCAAAACGACCAUCUACAGCCCAUUAACCUUCGUGUACCUGCAAAAUAGAGCAAAAAAGGAAAACAAAAGAGGACAAUAGAGCAAAAAGGCAAAAUAGAGCAGAAACGAAGCAAAAAACAAGCAAAGCAUAGACAGUAGCAUAGAGGAAAUCAAUUGUAUUUUCGGCUAUAAAGCCCAAACAGAAAACAGAUUGUUUUUUUACACAUGCAUACUGAAAUACAAAAAAGCAACUAAAAAUCGAAAGGUGACUUUGAACGUCUUGUAUUUCUUUCUUUUUUGAAUCUGUUUCGUCUUCUUUUUGCAUUUGUUUUUUGGUAUAACGAAAUAAAACAGAGGGCUUACCUCGUGAAUGAGCCACUGGAAUCUAUCAUCUUCGUCGGCAUCGAAGUUUGAAGAGAUUUCAAGGCUGAAAAAGCAACCCGAGGCUCGGGCGGGCUGGUCGCAGUUCAUGGGGGCAGAUCGGCGCCUAGAGGAAUAUUUAAGGAUCGGCUGAGAGGGAUAAAAUGGGGGCUAGGGUUUCCGUAAAAAAAACUGAUGGUCUCAUUUGUUUUCUUAAAUGUUAUAUUUAUAAUAUGGAAGAAACGACGUCGUUUUAAGCCAGUUUCAAUGGCUUCCAAAACGGCACCGUAUAGGAUACCCGAUUUGACCCGACCCGAUUGCCUUUGGGAUCCGCGUGUUUCUGCAGUGAGGGGAUAAUUACACGAUGGGUCCCCCUUUCUCGCAUGAGCAUUCAAUUGCGCCUCGCUUGUUUUGCUUCAUUUUUUUAAUUUGGUUCUAUAGUUCGCGCAUGUUUGCAAACGGGUUCGUGCCUUAACGCAGCGUUUUGGGACCUGGAAAAUUUCCAGAUUUGAUCCUUGUGAAUUCACACGCGUCGCACGUUGGUCCCUAUUGUCUUCCCAAUAAUUUGUUUUAUUUACAGAUUAUCCCUUUUAUUUUAAAUUUAUUUUAAUUAAGUCUGUUAUCUAUACAAUGCUUAUUUUUUAAGGAAUUCGCUUAAAC
Molecule: long non-coding RNA, 1431 nt
Filed under: Gossypium barbadense (sea-island cotton)
Lineage: Eukaryota; Viridiplantae; Streptophyta; Magnoliopsida; Malvales; Malvaceae
Description: long non-coding RNA (GBAR_LNC009980)
Source: RNAcentral